AGCCGCGCCGCCGCGUCGUCCUCCCCUUCGCCGGUGGACAGACGGCCAGGAGCCGUAGAGGAAUCGCCGUCGCCGGAGACAUCCCAGGUAAAACCCUAACUUCUUUCAUUUUCCCCUUCUUUCCUUUUUAAAUUAAAACUGAAAUCCCUCUCUUCUUUUUCCCUUUGGCAGAACGGAACCACGGCAGGUUCACCGCCGCCGCUCCGUCGCCGGCGACGAGCCACCGCGGCUGCCGCCUCCCUCUGAUCUCGACUCACACACACACAGCAGGGUCAAGCUCUUAUUCAGUUUAAAAAAAGACAUAGAGAAAUUAGCACAAAUUCAAUUACUAAACUGUAUACUCUUUGUAUUUUCUUUAAAAGUCUGUAAUUUAAGCAAAUCAUUGUAUCCUUGCAUGUAUAUCUGUAAUAGGUUUCAAAGAAAAAGUAUACACGCAUAUAAGAAUUACUAAGCAAUUGUGUGUGUGGGUUGAAACCGUGAAGUAGGCAUAGAAUGAAAGAUGCAAAACCUUCAAUAUUGGAAUUUGAUUUGUAUUUCUGCGAAAUC
Molecule: long non-coding RNA, 546 nt
Filed under: Salvia miltiorrhiza (redroot sage)
Lineage: Eukaryota; Viridiplantae; Streptophyta; Magnoliopsida; Lamiales; Lamiaceae
Description: long non-coding RNA (SMIL_LNC007757)
Source: RNAcentral